RNAcentral lists this ribosomal RNA (567 nucleotides) under Yamadazyma mexicana. Its description in RNAcentral is "partial large subunit ribosomal RNA". It matches the Rfam family "Eukaryotic large subunit ribosomal RNA", at positions 37 to 657 of the family's 3401-position model. Lineage: Eukaryota; Fungi; Ascomycota; Pichiomycetes; Serinales; Debaryomycetaceae. The record is from RNAcentral.
UGCAUAUCCAAAAAAGCGGAGGAAAAGAAACCAACAGGGAUUGCCUUAGUAGCGGCGAGUGAAGCGGCAAUAGCUCAAAUUUGAAAUCUGGCACCUUCGGUGUCCGAGUUGUAAUUUGAAGAAGGUAUCUUUGGUUUUGGCUCUUGUCUAUGUUCCUUGGAACAGGACGUCACAGAGGGUGAGAAUCCCGUGCGAUGAGAUGCCCAAUUCCAUGUAAAGUUCCUUCGACGAGUCGAGUUGUUUGGGAAUGCAGCUCUAAGUGGGUGGUAAAUUCCAUCUAAAGCUAAAUAUUGGCGAGAGACCGAUAGCGAACAAGUACUGUGAAGGAAAGAUGAAAAGAACUUUGAAAAGAGAGUGAAAAAGUACGUGAAAUUGUUGAAAGGGAAGGGCUUGAGGUCAGACUUGGUUUUACCAGGCCAGCAUCAGUUUGGAUGGCAGGAUAAUAGCUUAGGAAUGUGGCACUGCUUCGGUAGUGUGUUAUAGCCUGGGUUGAUACUGCCUGUCUAGACUGAGGACUGCGUCUUUGACUAGGAUGCUGGCAUAAUGACCUUAAGCCGCCCGUCUUAA